Molecule: long non-coding RNA, 858 nt
Organism: Ornithodoros turicata
Lineage: Eukaryota; Metazoa; Arthropoda; Arachnida; Ixodida; Argasidae
Exons: 5
Source: RefSeq, a predicted model, not a curated record
UCGUCUUCGAAAUGCGAGUUUUGCACGACAGUUCACGUGAAGCACUAGGGCGUUCUUUCAAAAUCGCCAUGCACUUGGAUUAGGGGCUCAUUCACACUUAUGGACGGCUAAAGGCCGCCGUCCAUCAGUAGAGUGCCGCCAAAUCUUGUGGGUGGAACACUAGAGGAUCUUAGUCGCACGUGUGAACGGGCCCUAACCGCACCAUUUGUCCUACAUCGUCAGGUUGAGUUGAGAGAGCGAGGAUGUUUCGAACAGAAACUUUUUGUGCAGCCACGCAAAAGUUUAAAGGUCGACUUCUGACGUCGGGAAGUAUUCCGAGAAACCUUGCGGGUCCUAUCACGUCACCUACAACAACUUCCGCUUCUUUCUUUUUUUGUCCGGAAGCUCCACGUAUCCGAGUCGAAACGUGUUAAUUGCGUUUCAGGAAGUGCGGAAACUGUUUCUAAGGCGGAAACUAAACAGGAGGGUCAAGAACAUACAACGCAUACAACGAAUGCCGCAUUGGCUGCACCCAAAAAUGCACCCCCAAAAUUGCAGUCCAUCUGCAGAAGCAGCAGCUGCAGAAGAGCAGUAGAAGAGCUGCAUCCAACGAAUACCUCAAAGGGGCCCUCGGAGGGGGAAUACGACGACAGCCGCUUAUUUCGACCGAUAUCACAUCAACGAAGAACCCAUCAGAGACAAUGACGUCGUCCUUCGUGUAUAGUCACUGUUCAGGGUCACUUCAUCUGAAGAAUUAGUAGGUAUCAGUAAUGUAGCGAGAGAAAUAUUUUUGGAUGGCAUUUACUGGCAUGACGGAAGACAAAAACGGCAGAUGAACUGUCCGUCUGUCGGUUUUCGUACUCCUUACCCACUCAUAAA